This is a long non-coding RNA of Carassius auratus (goldfish), 1204 nucleotides long. RefSeq lists it as uncharacterized. The record is from RefSeq and is a predicted model, not a curated record. The transcript has 2 exons. Lineage: Eukaryota; Metazoa; Chordata; Actinopteri; Cypriniformes; Cyprinidae.
UGAGGGCAAACUGAAGACUUUUUUUAUUAAGAAAAUUUAAGGAAUAAAAUAAAGGGAACACAGUAUUUCAAUGUUCUCUAAGUGUAAACGUUUAAGGAGCACACACGGAGUUGUAUUAGCAACUGUUUGAAAAUAUAACCCUCAUUGCAUGUUUCAUAAAUUGCAAAUGUCUAACGAUUCUUAAAUCAAUAUUCAUACAAAAUGGCAUAUAGGAAAGAUGCAUAGUUUGUGUAUUAAGCGUAAAAUCAAGCAAUUUCUCAGAAAACAAGACUCAACGGUCCGGUUUCACAAAUGGGGCUUAGCUUAAGCCAGGACUAGGCCUUACUUAAUUUAAGAUAUUUAAGCAACUUUUACAAAAUUGCCUUAGAAGAAAACAUUAAGCUGUGCAUCUUGACAGAACAAUGACACUGACGUAUUUUAAGAUAUGUCAGAGCACGACGUUUUCAGUCGAGACCGCUCAAACAUGCAUUUUAGUUCGGGUCUAGUUUAAGCCUUGUCUGUGAAACUGGGGUUAUAUCUUUAUUUUGCAUGGAUCUUGAUUUAAGGAUGUUCUUAGAAUCAAGGCAAAAAUAUUGAGGAAGAUAUUAAGUUUUGCAGUGUACGCAACAUUUAAUGCCAUGGCUAUGAAUUUGAGAUUUUCGGCUUCUAUUUGAGACCUCUCUAAAGCCUUCAAAGACUUUUUAAGACCAGCAGAAAACCCAUACAUCCCAACAGACUUUUUUUUGCCAUGGUCUAAAUGUCUUGAUUAAAACCAGCUCUAUUUCCUCAAAGGGCAUAAGGGGGACAUGUUUGUGGGACUCAUGGGCAAGAGAUCUUCAGGAGGUGAUUUCAGAAGAACAAUCCCAGAGAGCAGCACAGCCAUGGACAAAUCUGGAGAUCUGAACAAACAAACAGGUAGAACACUGAAAGAAGAACUGUAUUUAUGCAAACAUGAUGAAAUGAACCAGCAGUUUAUAAAGUUGAAAUCAUGAUGUUUUUGACACGGCAGAUGUGCGAGAGGAAUGGAACAGACUGCAGUAUUACUGAUGACAUUAUCCAGCACUAUUACAGACUCCACCAGUCUUCGUGAAUCAAUAUACAAUAAUUCUUGACUCUUAGCUGGCACCAACAUUAGAAUUCAGAAGAACAUCAUUUGGGAGUAAUUUUAAGCAAGGAAAUGUCUUGCUUCAGGUAUCAAAUGUGAUGUAAUAAAAGUAUCAAACAG